Long non-coding RNA from Lolium rigidum, 655 nucleotides. RefSeq lists it as uncharacterized. The transcript has 3 exons. Lineage: Eukaryota; Viridiplantae; Streptophyta; Magnoliopsida; Poales; Poaceae. The record is from RefSeq and is a predicted model, not a curated record.
UGAGCAAUAUUUGUAUUUAUUCUAAUAAGCAUAGGUUUAUUUGCUAGUUUUGUUUAAUGUGUUCUAUAAAUAUUUUUCUACUGUCUUGAGUAGUUGUUUAUGGACAUCCCUUGCUUUUCGUCAUGGACCAGCUUAAUGGUGCAUAUAUACUGUGGAGAUGGUCUUUUCAACCAAAAAGAACUCCAAAGGCUGUUUUGAAUGGUGCAUAUAUAUAUUCUGGAGAUGGUGCAUAUACCCUAAAAUAUAUAUUCUGGAGAUGGCCUUUUGACCACUUCGAUUUAAUGAAGAGGCCUAAAGCGUUCCAUGAGAGAUUCAGUUCCAAGGACAAAGGUGGUUUGUGACUUGAGGAAAAAGUUCUGGAUCAAGCCUCACGGAAUCGAUAUUGGCUAUGGAGUCUGUGCCCAAUCUGCAGACUGCAGGUGCUGGUGCCUCAUCUUCUCAAGGUAGUGGCUAACGUAAUGAAUAUGCAGAAAAAACCCUAGUCAUGUGUCACGUAGACGUCGAAGCUUUCUCGUUGCCGACUGGAGAAUAGCUAUGUUGGAAUAGUGCUGAUGGUGUUCUAGUUAAACUGUCUGUAAUUUGAAGAGUGAUUCUACUUAUUUUGGUUGGUACUUAUUUGCAGUCAAAUAGUUUGAAAUAAAAUAUAUUUAUGUGA